UAAAAUAUACUAUGAACAUGUAAGAAAUCCAUCUUGUGUAAUCAAAUAGCCUUCUCCACCUACACUUCUUCUCACUGCCUGAUAAAGCUCAACCCAGGAAGAACAAUGCAAAUCCUCUGUUCCCCACAAGAACGUUGGAUUAGGGCUUGCAGGACACGCAGAAACCAAAUCCAACACCGAUGCAGCUGGUUUCAGUUGCUGAGGGAAAUUAAAAGCUAAAUUGUCAACUUUGUGUUCAUAAAUUUUCCCAUUUCGAUCCACCUUAUACCGAGAAGUCCCCUG
This 282-nucleotide unclassified non-coding RNA is filed under the name Hevea brasiliensis (rubber tree). Lineage: Eukaryota; Viridiplantae; Streptophyta; Magnoliopsida; Malpighiales; Euphorbiaceae. The record is from RNAcentral.